AUGGCGCUGCCACUGCUCUUCCUCUUCUCCCUCUUGCUUCAAGCUCCUUUGCACGCACAGGCACUCCAAAACAUCACACUAGGAUCUACCCUGACCACUCAAGGCCCAAACGCCUCACGGAUUUCACCCUCCGGUGAGUUCGCGUUCGGCUUCCGCCCCAGCGAUGCCGACGCCUCUGUCUACCUUCUCGCCGUCUCGUUCGACAAGAUCACCUCCAAAACCGUUGUCUGGUACGCCAACACCAACACAACACUGCCAGUUGGCUCCCAACUGCAGCUCACGCCUGGUGGCGUGCUUUCGCUCCAGGACCCUGCCGGCACAGAGAUAUGGAACCCCCGGGUGACCAACGCCGACCAUGCCGCCAUGCUCGACACAGGCAAUUUCGUGCUCUAUGCCAAAGAUGGCUCCAUCAAAUGGCAGAGCUUUGAACACCCAACCGACACCAUCCUGCCCUCCCAGGAGCUGCCUAAAGGGUCCGUCCUGCAAAGCCGGCUCAUGGACAACGACUACUCAGCUGGAAGGUUCCAACUCAGCGUAGAGCGUGAUGGCAACUUAAGGUUUUACACCUUGGCUGUUCCCUACACCGUGGCUGUUUCCUCCCUUUUCCGCUAUGAUCCUCCAUAUUGGGAUUCUCACACUGGUGGAAAUGGUUCAAGCCUCGUGUUCAACACAACUGGCAGCAUCUACUACACUACAAAUUCUGGCAGACAAAUCAAUAUUACAUCAGAAACACUUGACUCACCGGCAGACUUCUACCAGCGCGCCACACUUGAUGCAGAUGGGGUGUUCAGGCAAUACGUGUACCCCAAGAAGGCAGCUCAGAUCAGUGGAUUGAACACGGAGUGGAAAGUUAUGGACGUACUCCCACGAAACUUCUGUCGGGCUGCUGCAGUAGAGACUGGAAGUGGUGCCUGUGGGUUCAACAGCUAUUGCAGCUUCAGCUUCAACACAAGCAAGAGUGUGGAAUGUGAGUGCCCACCAAACUACUCAUUCAUCGACAACGAGAGGAAGUACAAAGGUUGCAAGCAAGACUUCCCUCCACAUAGCUGUGGCUUGGAUGAUACUGAAUCUACUCAGAAUUUCAAGCUACUUCCAAUGAACAAUAUCAAUUGGCCUUUUGGCGACUAUGAGCGUUACAGCCCCAUUGGUGAGGAUUCUUGCCAAAGACUUUGCUUAACUGAUUGCUUUUGUGUUGCUGCGGUGUACUACAACAGUUCUUGCUGGAAAAAGAGGAGCCCCUUGUCCAACGGAAUGGAAGGUGACAUACUGGGAUCAGUUUUUAUCAAAGUUCCCAGGACUGAUAUUCCUGGGUCCCAGUCGGCCAGUAACUCCAAUAGAUGGAGAAAAGAGAAGAGGUAUUGGAUAAUAGGAAGUUCACUGCUCCUUGGAGGAUCUGCCCUUGUUAUUCUGUAUUUUGGAUCUUACCGUGUCAUUGGCCGAAAGAAGCCAGCCCAGAUACAAUCAAUGAGUCCCGAGGCAUUGCCUCUUAGAGCAUUCACGUACAAGGAGAUUGAGAAGGCGACAGAUGGAUUUCGUGAAGAGCUGGGUAGCGGUGCAUCUGGUAUCGUAUACAAGGGCCAGCUGGAAGAUGAGUUUGGGACUGGCAUUGCAGUCAAGAAGAUUGACAAGAUGCUCCAAGAGAGUGAAAAGGAGUUCGCCAUUGAGGUUCAAACCAUCGGAAGGACCUUCCACAGAAACUUGGUACGGUUGCUUGGUUUCUGCACACAAGGAAAAGAGAGGCUUCUGGUGUACGAGUUGAUGACCAGUGGCUCGCUUAAUGGAUUCCUUUUUUGUGGUACAAGGCCAACCUGGAACCUUCGCGUUCAAGUCGCACUUGGGUUGGCAAGAGGCCUGCUCUACUUACAUGAGGAAUGCAACACUCAAAUAAUCCAUUGUGACAUAAAGCCCCAAAACAUCCUUCUUGAUGAGAAUCUCGUGGCAAAGAUCUCAGACUUUGGCCUAGCAAAGUUGCUCAGGACAAAUCAGACACAGACGAACACUGGCAUCAGGGGAACUCGAGGGUACGUCGCCCCCGAGUGGUUCAAAAACAUAGGGAUCACAUCCAAGGUGGAUGUUUAUAGUUUUGGGGUGAUCUUGCUAGAGAUUGUGUGUUGCAGACGGAAUGUGGAGCCAGAGACAGCUGAUGAGGAGCAAGCAAUACUGACAUAUUGGGCAAAUGACUGCUACAGAAGUGGGAGGCUUGACUUGUUAGUCAAGGGUGAUGAUGAGGCAAUCUUCAAUAUAAAGAAGGUGGAACGCUUCGUGGCCGUGGCAUUGUGGUGUCUCCAAGAGGAGCCAACAAUGCGGCCAAGCAUGCUGAAAGUGACACAGAUGCUUGAUGGAUCCGUUCCAAUCCCCACACCCCCUGAUCCAUCUUCCUUCAUUAGUUCACUCCAAUAG
Molecule: ribosomal RNA, 2400 nt
Filed under: Triticum aestivum (bread wheat)
Lineage: Eukaryota; Viridiplantae; Streptophyta; Magnoliopsida; Poales; Poaceae
Description: partial small subunit ribosomal RNA
Source: RNAcentral